RNAcentral lists this ribosomal RNA (243 nucleotides) under uncultured anaerobic ammonium-oxidizing bacterium. RNAcentral describes it as "partial 16S ribosomal RNA". It matches the Rfam family "Bacterial small subunit ribosomal RNA", at positions 439 to 673 of the family's 1533-position model. The record is from RNAcentral.
GGAGUUAGGAAAUGUAGACUCGCUAAUAUCGGGUCUAUUUGACAAAGGCUCCAAAGGAAGCCACGGCUAACUCUGUGCCAGCAGCCGCGGUAAUACAGAGGUGGCAAGCGUUGUUCGGAAUUAUUGGGCGUAAAGAGCACGUAGGUGGAUUUGUAAGUCAGACGUGAAAGCCUUCUGUUCAACGGAAGAAUUGCAUCUGAAACUACAAACAUUGGGUGUAGGAGGGGAGAGUGGAACUUCUGG